UUUCUGUAGGUGAACCUGCGGAAGGAUCAUUAUUGUAUAACCGAGGUGCGAGGGCUGUCGCUGACCCGAAAGGUCGUGCACGCCCGAGUGCCCUCACACACAUCCAUCUCACCCCUAUGUGCACCACCGCGUGGGUCCCCCUUUGGCUUGUUCGGAGGGGGGCUUACGUUUUCACACAAACUUUGUAUGCAGUGUAGAAUGUAUUUUUUGUUUUUGCGAUCACGCAAUCAAUACAACUUUCAACAACGGAUCUCUUGGCUCUCGCAUCAAUGAAGAACGCAGC
Molecule: unclassified non-coding RNA, 283 nt
Filed under: plant metagenome
Description: partial contains small subunit ribosomal RNA, internal transcribed spacer 1, and 5.8S ribosomal RNA
Rfam family: 5.8S ribosomal RNA (bases 235-283)
Source: RNAcentral